AAUAGGAGAAUGACAAAUCAGAUUUUUCUCCUGAUUCUCAGGUUUUUUUUUCCUGAAAAAAUUCAAAUCCAACUAAAAAAAGCUGAAAAUUAGGAGGAAAAAUCAAAUUUGUCAUUUUCCUAUU
This is a non-coding RNA of Gossypium raimondii (Peruvian cotton), 124 nucleotides long. The record is from Rfam. NCBI's taxonomy places the organism in Eukaryota, Viridiplantae, Streptophyta, Magnoliopsida, Malvales, Malvaceae.